This is a long non-coding RNA of Xiphophorus maculatus (southern platyfish), 1330 nucleotides long. RefSeq lists it as uncharacterized. The record is from RefSeq and is a predicted model, not a curated record. The transcript has 3 exons. Lineage: Eukaryota; Metazoa; Chordata; Actinopteri; Cyprinodontiformes; Poeciliidae.
UAGGCUGACAGGAAAGGGGCAAGAAGAGGGGGGAAGACACGCGGCAAAUAUCGUCAGGUCCGGGAAUUGAACCUGCGACGGCGGCGUACGUAGAGGACUCAAGGCCGUCAAACAUGCUGCAAACACUGUGUGAAGUCAUAUGAGAAAAAGAAAAGAAAAAAAAAGACAUGCGCUCGCUGUGUGCUCGCUCACGGACCUAAAGAGGGACGGGCAAUGAAAAGAAAGCGGAAAAGGAAGCCAAACAAAGAGGAGGGGAGUUUGGGGACUCGUUUGAUCACAGUUGACUUGUGCAGACCUGGAUGAAUCUGUAGACGGGCGGAGAGGCAGCCGUUACCUGAAAAGAAACAAACUCUGUGACAGACGUACGCAGUCCUUCGUUGAUGUAGGAGAUGAACAUCUUUAUGUGAACAUCUGCAACGACAACGGGGGAACCUAUCAAGGGCAUCGCAACUUGUACACCAGUAUCUCCCAAAUUACACUGUAUCAUUUUGAAGUCACUGGGAAUAAUUGCUGCAUUACUAGUCUGAGGAAAGAAGCUAAAUAUGUGACUGUCGCUUGUGAUAAAGUCAACGGCCAAUUGCUUCCUGUUCACUUUGAAAGCAGUGAAUUCUACGGGUCAUUCCGUACAAGCGACAUGUGAAGUCCAUAAACUAAUCUGUGGUUUGACUUUGGAAACCAGAGUCUUCCAGGUUUGGCAAAAAUGCUGUUUUGCUUUGCUGCAUCUCUCCAUAUCCAGCUUUAGUUCAGCCUUUAAAUGCUUUGAGUUACGUUUAGAUGAGUUUAUUUUGUAAACACAUCAGAGAAAUCACAUGAUCAAUGAAAGACAGUGUGCAAUUUACAGUUUUUACUAUAUCAGCGAUGAGAAACUUUGUUGAUGUAUGACAAAGAGUGAUUUUGUGCUGAGUACUAAAAGCAAUAAUGCUUCCUUCUGUGUUUUUGAGUCCUAAUUUUGAAUUGAGAAGUUGUUUUUUUCGGACCUACGUAAUUAAAGUCUGAAUUAAAUGAAGAUAUUUACAUGGGACAAUAGAAAUGUCACUAGACUUAUCUGCAUCCAGCGCUCUCUAAAUGAUAGAUAAACGAAGCAUGGGCAAUAUUUUAUGUACUUUUGCAUCCCUGAUAAAUAUAUAUGAAGUAACAAUCAUAAAUAAUAGUAAAAUGUUAUAUUUUACAGCCAAAAAAUGUAUCAUUUUCUAUGUGCUGUGAACGACUUUGUUUUUUGUAAAUGAUUGUUUUGCUAAAGAUGUUUCCAAAGCUGUGCAGCAUGUUGCUUUGUUCUUUGCUUUGCUCCAUUAAAGAUCUAAUAAAGUUCAUAAUCCUUAAUUCAUUGUAA